Molecule: ribosomal RNA, 279 nt
Filed under: uncultured bacterium
Lineage: Bacteria
Description: partial 16S ribosomal RNA
Rfam family: Bacterial small subunit ribosomal RNA
Source: RNAcentral
UGCCAUCAGCCGCGGUAAUACGUAGGGAGCGAGCGUUGUUCGGAUUUACUGGGCGUAAAGAGCACGUAGGCGGGUAUACAAGUCGGUUGUGAAAUCCUCUGGCUCAACCAGAGAACUGCAAUCGAAACUGUAUGCCUUGAGUCCAUCAGAGGAAAUCGGAAUCUUAGGUGUAGCGGUGAAAUGCGUAGAUAUCUAAGAGAACACCAGUGGCGAAGGCGGAUUUCUGGGAUGGCACUGACGCUGAGGUGCGAAAGCUGAGGGAGCGAACAGGAUUAGAUA